RNAcentral lists this ribosomal RNA (1445 nucleotides) under Klebsiella sp. RNAcentral describes it as "bacterial SSU rRNA". It matches the Rfam family "Bacterial small subunit ribosomal RNA". Lineage: Bacteria; Pseudomonadati; Pseudomonadota; Gammaproteobacteria; Enterobacterales; Enterobacteriaceae. The record is from RNAcentral.
AUGAGGGCGAGCAGAUACCAGGGAGAUCGAGCGGUAGCACAGAAGAGCUUGCUCUCGGGUGACGAGCGGCGGACGGGUGAGUAAUGUCUGGGAAACUGCCUGAUGGAGGGGGAUAACUACUGGAAACGGUAGCUAAUACCGCAUAACGUCGCAAGACCAAAGUGGGGGACCUUCGGGCCUCAUGCCAUCAGAUGUGCCCAGAUGGGAUUAGCUAGUAGGUGGGGUAAUGGCUCACCUAGGCGACGAUCCCUAGCUGGUCUGAGAGGAUGACCAGCCACACUGGAACUGAGACACGGUCCAGACUCCUACGGGAGGCAGCAGUGGGGAAUAUUGCACAAUGGGCGCAAGCCUGAUGCAGCCAUGCCGCGUGUAUGAAGAAGGCCUUCGGGUUGUAAAGUACUUUCAGCGAGGAGGAAGGCGUUAAGGUUAAUAACCUUGGUGAUUGACGUUACUCGCAGAAGAAGCACCGGCUAACUCCGUGCCAGCAGCCGCGGUAAUACGGAGGGUGCAAGCGUUAAUCGGAAUUACUGGGCGUAAAGCGCACGCAGGCGGUCUGUCAAGUCGGAUGUGAAAUCCCCGGGCUCAACCUGGGAACUGCAUUCGAAACUGGCAGGCUAGAGUCUUGUAGAGGGGGGUAGAAUUCCAGGUGUAGCGGUGAAAUGCGUAGAGAUCUGGAGGAAUACCGGUGGCGAAGGCGGCCCCCUGGACAAAGACUGACGCUCAGGUGCGAAAGCGUGGGGAGCAAACAGGAUUAGAUACCCUGGUAGUCCACGCCGUAAACGAUGUCGACUUGGAGGUUGUGCCCUUGAGGCGUGGCUUCCGGAGCUAACGCGUUAAGUCGACCGCCUGGGGAGUACGGCCGCAAGGUUAAAACUCAAAUGAAUUGACGGGGGCCCGCACAAGCGGUGGAGCAUGUGGUUUAAUUCGAUGCAACGCGAAGAACCUUACCUACUCUUGACAUCCAGAGAACUUAGCAGAGAUGCUUUGGUGCCUUCGGGAACUCUGAGACAGGUGCUGCAUGGCUGUCGUCAGCUCGUGUUGUGAAAUGUUGGGUUAAGUCCCGCAACGAGCGCAACCCUUAUCCUUUGUUGCCAGCGGUUAGGCCGGGAACUCAAAGGAGACUGCCAGUGAUAAACUGGAGGAAGGUGGGGAUGACGUCAAGUCAUCAUGGCCCUUACGAGUAGGGCUACACACGUGCUACAAUGGCAUAUACAAAGAGAAGCGACCUCGCGAGAGCAAGCGGACCUCAUAAAGUAUGUCGUAGUCCGGAUUGGAGUCUGCAACUCGACUCCAUGAAGUCGGAAUCGCUAGUAAUCGUAGAUCAGAAUGCUACGGUGAAUACGUUCCCGGGCCUUGUACACACCGCCCGUCACACCAUGGGAGUGGGUUGCAAAAGAAGUAGGUAGCUUAACCUUCGGGAGGGCGCUUACUCACUUCCGUUUCCG